Molecule: non-coding RNA, 135 nt
Organism: Triticum aestivum (bread wheat)
Lineage: Eukaryota; Viridiplantae; Streptophyta; Magnoliopsida; Poales; Poaceae
Source: Rfam
AUUGUACUCCCUCCGUUCGGAAAUACUUGUCAUUCAAAUGGACAAAAAAUGAUGUAUCUAGAACUAAAAUACAUCUAGAUACAUCCCCUUUUAUUCAUUUUGAUGACAAGUAUUUCCGGACGGAGGGAGUAGUCU